GCCUGUUUCGGUCCGCCAUUUUUUAUCGCGGGAAACGUGUCGGUUCGCGUCGUGUCGAAUCGCGUCGUUUUACGGAAAUACUGACUUGGUUCUAAGACGAGCUGAAAAUGCCGGGUUUUAGUAGCGUGGGCACAUUCAAGAUCUUCAUUGGCAAUUUAGCCGAUAAGACAUCAAAUGCAGACAUCAAACCGCUGUUCGAAAAGUAUGGGAAGGUGGUGGAGUGUGACGUCGUCAAAAACUAUGGUUUUGUGCACAUGGAAAACGAAGAAGCUGGACGCAGUGCUAUUCAGAAUUUGAAUGGCCACAUGGUGCACGGCCAGCCAAUCAAGUGCGAGGCUGCAAAGAGCCGCAAAGGCCCCAACACUCCGACGACCAAGAUCUUUGUUGGCAACCUGACGGACAAUACAAAGGCUCCGCAGGUGCGCGAGCUCUUCGCGAAGUACGGAACGGUCGUCGAGUGCGACAUCGUCAGGAACUACGGUUUCGUCCACCUAGAGGCAACGGGCGACGUGAACGACGCGAUCAAGGAGCUCAACGGACAGAUCGUGGACGGCCAACCAAUGAAGGUUCAGAUCUCCACGAGCAGAGUGCGACAGAGGCCGGGGAUGGGCGAUCCUGAGCAGUGCUACCGAUGCGGCCGAGGAGGCCACUGGUCGAAGGAAUGCCCCAAGGGAGGAAUGGGAGGGGGACCCGACAGGAACGGCUUCAGGGACCGAAUGUUCGGACGCGACCCGUACCCUCCGCCGCCGCCACCACCUUUCCUUCGGGACAGGCUGAUGGGUGGUGGCCGCUUCGGAGAGUACGAAAGCUACUACGACAGGAGGGGCUUCGAGGACAGCAGGGACCUCUACGAGAGGCGGUUUACGGGUAUGGGAUCCAUGCGAGACACCGGGUUCACACGUGGCAACGAGUACGGCAUGUUCAGUCGGCGUUCCCCACCCCCGAGCGGAAACAAUGGCCGGUUCAGUGAACUUCAGGCUGCGUACCGACUUUGUCCAUGAACGCAGGCGACCCUAAAGAAACAGUACCGGAUCGACGUUCAAGUCACGAAAGAUAGAGGCAUGUACGAGGACUUCAGCCGAGACUCGUUCGAAGAGCGUAGAACAGUUGGCACUGCUGAUGAGGUGGUCGCGCACGAGCUAGCGUACAGCGCGAAUAAAACGCUUCAUGCAUAUACGGACGUGGAUUACUAACUC
RNAcentral lists this unclassified non-coding RNA (1196 nucleotides) under Orussus abietinus. RNAcentral's name for it is "rNA-binding protein lark, transcript variant X9". Lineage: Eukaryota; Metazoa; Arthropoda; Insecta; Hymenoptera; Orussidae. The record is from RNAcentral.